CCCUUAGAUGUUCUGGGCCGCGCGCGCGCUACACUGAUUCAUGCAACAAGUUUUGUCCUUGGCUGAUAGGCCUGGGUAAUCUUUGAACGUGAAUCGUGAUGGGGAUAGAUGAUUGCAAUUAUUCAUCUUCAACGAGGAAUUCCUAGUAAACGCAAGUCAUCAGCUUGCAUUGAUUACGUCCCUGCCCUUUGUACACACCGCCCGUCGCACCUACCGAUUGAAUGGUCCGGUGAAAUCUUCGGAUCUGAGAGAUGUCUGAUUAAUUUCGGACGCCUUUUGGAAAAGUUGUUUAAACCUUACCAUUUAGAGGAAGGUGAAGUCGUAACA
RNAcentral lists this ribosomal RNA (327 nucleotides) under uncultured eukaryote. RNAcentral's name for it is "partial 18S ribosomal RNA". It matches the Rfam family "Eukaryotic small subunit ribosomal RNA", at positions 1470 to 1796 of the family's 1831-position model. The record is from RNAcentral.